GUCUACAGUCGUGUCACCCUGAACGUGCCCGAUCUCAUCUGAUCUUGGAAGGUAAGCAGAGUCGGGCCUGGUUAGUACUUGGAUGGGAGACCACUUAGGAAUACCAGGUGUUGUAGGCA
RNAcentral lists this ribosomal RNA (119 nucleotides) under Pteropus alecto (black flying fox). Lineage: Eukaryota; Metazoa; Chordata; Mammalia; Chiroptera; Pteropodidae. The record is from RNAcentral.